RNAcentral lists this ribosomal RNA (336 nucleotides) under Triticum aestivum (bread wheat). RNAcentral's name for it is "partial small subunit ribosomal RNA". Lineage: Eukaryota; Viridiplantae; Streptophyta; Magnoliopsida; Poales; Poaceae. The record is from RNAcentral.
AUGAAUCCUGGAGUUUUCGCUUCCUGUUAUCUAUGUGAUCAGGAAGAAGACAAUGUGGAACAUCUACUCAUCCAAUGCGUUUACUCAAGACAGGUAUGGCACACGGCCUUGUCCAGUGUAAGGAUUGCGCCAACACUAGCACCGGUGGCGAAUGAUAACUUGGAAUCGUGGUGGGGUAGCACCCAUAAGCUGAUUCGCAAGGAGAACCGUAGAGCUUUCGAUAGCCUGGUGAUUCUGGUGUGUUGGCACCUAUGGAAGCAACGAAAUGCUCGAGUCUUCCAUCCGAAGACUCCGUCUAUCUCCGCCUCUGUAUUAGUGUCUAGGAUUCUUGAUUAG